UGAGGCCUGCUGAGAUGAAGCUUUCUGUAGGGAGAGACAGCCUAAGCAAGUAUGUAAAGGUCCCGAGAGGAAUGAUGCCCCUAUUUUAGGUCAUCUUUCUGCAUGGAGGUAUGGGGGAUUUGGUGAAGGGAAAGGAGGUUUAUGCUCCCUGAUCAAUCCAGGCUUUACUGAGGGUCAGGGACACAGCUAGCCAUUUUCCCUAGUGGGAGAAUGGGGCUGUCUGUGGUCCAGACCGUGCCCAGGCUGUAUCCUCUCAGUGCUGUGACCACAGGCAACAGAAGGCGGCCAAGGCCUUGAGGAAGAUCCUGUGCUUCAGAGGAGAGGCUUCCUGUGAGAAGCAGGCAGACUGCCCCAGGAUGUCUUCAGUUUGUGCUGCCCUGGAUCCCUGUACAACCUCCUUCCCUGGCCCAAAUGCUUAAAGAGGUACACACAGCAGGAAACAACAACUGUGUGUGAGGGAUUGAGAAGGAGUCUCUCAAACAAUAUCCAAGCUGCUGGAAGUACUGCACAUCCGAACCAGCUCUCUUUAGAAGGCAGAUAUCUACUGUGUUCGAGCAGCAGAGAAACAUCUUCUGUUCUCCUGGAAAGAGGCAGCCUAGAAUAGUCUAUAUCAUCUGUACCUGUGGAAGU
Molecule: long non-coding RNA, 630 nt
Filed under: Mus spicilegus (steppe mouse)
Lineage: Eukaryota; Metazoa; Chordata; Mammalia; Rodentia; Muridae
Description: lncRNA (ENSMSIG00000020286.1)
Source: RNAcentral